RNAcentral lists this transfer RNA (66 nucleotides) under Cerceris albofasciata. RNAcentral's name for it is "tRNA-Arg". The record is from RNAcentral. Lineage: Eukaryota; Metazoa; Arthropoda; Insecta; Hymenoptera; Crabronidae.
AUAUAUGAAGUAAAAAAUUUACAUUUAAUUUCGACUUAAAAAUAAAUCAAUUGUGGUUCGUAUAUA